Molecule: ribosomal RNA, 589 nt
Filed under: Herbaspirillum sp. HRRK071
Lineage: Bacteria; Pseudomonadati; Pseudomonadota; Betaproteobacteria; Burkholderiales; Oxalobacteraceae
Description: bacterial SSU rRNA
Rfam family: Bacterial small subunit ribosomal RNA
Source: RNAcentral
AGGGGUGAUUAAUAUUUGCCAACGUGCCCUAGAGUGCGGGAUAACUAGUCGAAAGAUUAGCUAAUACCGCAUACGAUCUACGGAUGAAAGUGGGGGAUCGCAAGACCUCAGGCUCAUGGAGCGGCCGAUAUCUGAUUAGCUAGUUGGUGGGGUAAAAGCUCACCAGGGCGACGAUCAGCCUCUGGUCUGAGAGGAUACCAGCCACACUGGAACUGAGACACGGUCCAUACUCCUACAGGAGGCUGCAUUGGGGAAUUUUGGACAAUGGGCGCAGGCGUAAUCCCACAAUGCCGCGUGAGUGAAGAAGGCCUUCGGGUUGUAAAGCUCUUUUGUCAGGGAAGAAACGGUCUUGGUUAAUACCUGGGGCUAAUGACGGUACCUGAAGAAUAAGCACCGGCUAACUACGUGCCAGCAGCCGCGGUAAUACGUAGGGUGCAAGCGUUAAUCGGAAUUACUGGGCGUAAAGCGUGCGCAGGCGGUUAUACAAGACAGAUGUGAAAUCCCCGGGCUCAACCUGGGAAUUGCAUUUGUGACUGUAUGGCUAGAGUGUGUCAGAGGGGGGUAGAAUUCCACGUGUAGCAGUGAAAUG